Molecule: ribosomal RNA, 253 nt
Filed under: uncultured bacterium
Lineage: Bacteria
Description: partial 16S ribosomal RNA
Rfam family: Bacterial small subunit ribosomal RNA
Source: RNAcentral
GACGGAGGAUGCAAGUGUUAUCCGGAAUCACUGGGCGUAAAGCGUCUGUAGGUGGUUUAGUAAGUCAACUGUUAAAUCUUGGGGCUUAACCUCAAAACUGCAGUCGAAACUACUAGACUAGAGUAUAGUAGGGGUAAAGGGAAUUUCCAGUGGAGCGGUGAAAUGCGUAGAGAUUGGAAAGAACACCGAUGGCGAAGGCACUUUACUGGGCUAUUACUAACACUGAGAGACGAAAGCUAGGGUAGCAAAUGGG